Molecule: ribosomal RNA, 1371 nt
Filed under: uncultured bacterium
Lineage: Bacteria
Description: bacterial SSU rRNA
Rfam family: Bacterial small subunit ribosomal RNA
Source: RNAcentral
GAGUUUGAUCAUGGCUCAGAACGUACGCUGGCGGCACGCUUAACACAUGCAAGUCGAACGCAGUAGCAAUACUGAGUGGCAGACGGGUGAGUAUAAUGUGGGAAUCUGCCUUUUGGUUCGGAAUAACUCGGGGAAACUUGAGCUAAUACCGGAUAAGCCCUUACGGGGAAAGAUUUAUCGCCAAAAGAUGAGCCCGCACUUGAUUAGCUAGUUGGUGAGGUAAUUGCUCACCAAGGCAACAAUCAAUAGCUGUUCUUAGAGGAAGACCAGCCACAUUGGGACUGAGACACGGCCCAGACUCCUACGGGAGGCAGCAGUAGGGAAUCUUGCACAAUGGAGGAAACUCUGAUGCAGCGAUGCCGCGUGAGUGAAGAAGGCCUUUGGGUUGUAAAACUCUUUCGUCGGGGAAGAAAAUGACUGUACCCGAAUAAGAAGGUCCGGCUAACUUCGUGCCAGCAGCCGCGGUAAUACGAAGGGACCUAGCGUAGUUCGGAAUUCCUGGGCUUAAAGAGCUCGUAGGUGGUUAAAGAAGUUGGUGGUGAAAUCCCAAGGCUUAACCUUGGAACUGCCAUCAAAACUUUUUAGCUUGAGUAUGAUAGAGGAAAGUGGAAUUUCUAGUGUAGAGGUGAAAUUCGUAGAUAUUAGAAAGAACACCAAAUGCGAAGGCAACUUUCUGGAUCAUUACUGACACUGAGGAGCGAAAGCAUGGGUAGCGAAGAGGAUUAGAUACCCUCGUAGUCCAUGCUGUAAACGAUGUGUGCUAGACGUUGGAAAUUUUAUUUUCAGUGUCGCAGCAAAAGCGUUAAGCACACCGCCUGGGGAGUACGACCGCAAGGUUAAAACUCAAAUGAAUUGACGGGGACCCGCACAAGCAGUGGAGCAUGUGGUUUAAUUCGAAGAUACGCGCAGAACCUUACCAACUCUUGACAUGUCCGUCGCGACUUAUAGAAAUAUGAGUCUUCGGUUCGGCCGGACGGAACACAGGUGCUGCAUGGCUGUCGUCAGCUCGUGUCGUGAGAUGUUGGGUUAAGUCCCGCAACGAGCGCAACCCUCACUUUUAGUUGCCAUCAUUUAGUUGGGCACUCUGAAAGAACUGCCAGUGAUAAGCUGGAGGAAGGUGGGGAUGACGUCAAGUCCUCAUGGCCCUUACGAGUUGGGCUACACACGUGCUACAAUGGUACUUACAACAAGACGCAAAGAGGCGACUCGAAGAAAUCCUCAAAAGAUACCUCAGUUCGGAUUGCACUCUGCAACUCGAGUGCAUGAAGCUGGAAUUACUAGUAAUCGUGGAUCAGCGUGCCACGGUGAAUGCGUUCCCGGGUCUUGUACACACCGCCCGUCACACCAUGGGAGUUGGUUCUACCUUAAGGC